GGUCAAGCUAUGAAGGGCACACGGUGGAUGCCUUGGCGCGAGAAGGCGAUGAAGGACGUGGCAAGCUGCGAUAAGCUUCGGGGAGCCGCUAAGCAGGCUUUGAUCCGGAGAUUUCCGAAUGGGGAAACCCAGCCGGCGUAAUGGCCGGCUAUCCUACGAUGAAUGAAUAGUCGUAGGAGGCGAACGGGGGGAAGUGAAACAUCUCAGUACCCCUAGGAGCAGAAAUCAAUCGAGAUUCCCUUAGUAGCGGUGAGCGAAAGGGGAAGAGCCCAAACCGAAGGUAGCAAUACCUCCGGGGUUGUGGGGCAGUCUCAGGGUGAAGCCCGGAGAGUCAGAAAAUCAGUGCGUAGUGGAAGGAUCCUGGAAAGGACCACCAGAGGGGGUGAUAGUCCCGUACACGAAACGCACUGGUCUCUCUGGAGACUGUUCCCGAGUACCGCGGGACACGUGGAAUCCCGUGGGAAGCUGGGAGGACCAUCUUCCAAGGCUAAAUACUCGCUCGCGACCGAUAGUGAACAAGUACCGUGAGGGAAAGGUGAAAAGCACCCCAGCGAGGGGAGUGAAAUAGUACCUGAAACCGUGUGCUUACAAGCAGUGGGAGGACGUUCCGGUCGGCUUGCCGAUCGGUGUCUGACCGCGUGCCUUUUGCAUAAUGAGUCUGCGACUUACUCUUUGCGGCAAGGUUAAGCCGAGUGAGGUGGAGCCGAAGCGAAAGCGAGUCCUAAAUGGGCGUUCAGUCGCAGGGAGUAGACCCGAAGCGGGAUGAUCUACCCAUGGCCAGGGUGAGGGCUCGGUAACACGAGCUGGAGGCCCGAACUGGUGAAGGUUGAAAACUUCUCGGAUGAGCUGUGGGUAGGGGUGAAAGGCUAAUCAAAUUCCGUGAUAGCUGGUUCUCCCCGAAAUAUAUUUAGGUAUAGCGUCGAGAGAUCACUUGCGGAGGUAGAGCACUGGAUGGGCUAGGGCCCUUACCGGGGUACCAAACCUAACCAAACUCCGAAUGCCGCAACAUGUAUCUCGGCAGUCAGACUGUGGGUGAUAAGGUCCAUAGUCGAGAGGGUAACAACCCAGACCGCCAGCUAAGGUCCCCAAAUUCGCACUAAGUGGUAAAGGAUGUGGAGGGACAUAGACAACCAGGAGGUUGGCUUAGAAGCAGCCACCCUUUAAAGAAAGCGUAACAGCUCACUGGUCAAGUCAAUCCGCGCCGAAAAUGUAACGGGGCUCAAGUGCGAUACCGAAGCUGCGGAUCCGUCGCGAGUUCGCUCGUGAUGAGAUGGUAGGGGAGCAUUCCAGUCGCCUGUGAAGGCAGAUCGACAAGAACUGCUGGAGGUCCUGGAAGAGCUUAUGCAGACACGAGUAACGAUAAAAUGGGCGAGAAACCCAUUCGCCGUAAGUCUAAGGUUUCCUGGGUUAAGGUAAUCUUCUCAGGGUUAGUCGGUUCCUAAGUCGAGGCCGAAAGGCGUAGAUAAUGGAAAGCAGGUUAAUAUUCCUGCACCAUCGGAAUGGCGUUUGAGCGAAGGGGGGACGGAGAAGGGUAGGUAGUCCGGCUACUGGAUGCCGGUUCAAGCCCGUAGGCGGGAGCGGUAGGCAAAUCCGCUGCUCCUUAACGCCGAGAGGUGAUGACGAGCGAUUCCUUCGGGUCUCGCGAAGCUAUUGAUCCCAUGCUUCCAAGAAAAGCCUCGUAGCGAGUCAUUCUGGUGACCGUACCGCAAACCGACUCAGGUAGACGGGUAGAGUAUACCAAGGCGCUUGAGAGAACCGUGGCUAAGGAACUCAGCAAAUUGACACCGUAACUUCGGGAGAAGGUGUGCCGCCGGGGGUGAAGGGACUCGCUCUUGGAGCUCCAGGCGGUUGCAGAGAGCAGGGGGUAGCGACUGUUUACCAAAAACACAGGACUCUGCGAACUCGUAAGACGAGGUAUAGGGUCUGACGCCUGCCCGGUGCCGGAAGGUUAAGGGGACUUGUCAACCGCAAGGUGAAGCAAGGAACCGAAGCCCCGGUAAACGGCGGCCGUAACUAUAACGGUCCUAAGGUAGCGAAAUUCCUUGUCGGGUAAGUUCCGACCUGCACGAAUGGCGUAACGAUUUCCCCACUGUCUCGGCCACGGACUCAGUGAAACUGCAAUCUCGGUGAAGAUACCGGGUACCCGCGGCAGGACGGAAAGACCCUGUGCACCUUUACUAUAGCUUUGCAUUGGAGUUAGGGGCAGCAUGUGUAGGAUAGGUGGGAGGCUUUGAAGUCGGGGCGCUAGCUUCGAUGGAGCCAACCUUGAAAUACCACCCUUGCUGGUCUUGGCUUCUAACCGACGCCCGUAAUCCGGGCGCGGGACAUUGCAUGGUGGGUAGUUUGACUGGGGCGGUCGCCUCCCAAAAAGUAACGGAGGCGCGCGAAGGUCCCCUCAGGCUGAGUGGAAACCAGCCGUCGAGUGCAAACGCAUAAGGGGGCUUGACUGCGAGACUUACAAGUCGAGCAGGUGCGAAAGCAGGUGUUAGUGAUCCGGUGGUCCCGUAUGGAAGGGCCAUCGCUCAACGGAUAAAAGGUACGCCGGGGAUAACAGGCUUAUCUCCCCCAAGAGUUCACAUCGACGGGGAGGUUUGGCACCUCGAUGUCGGCUCGUCACAUCCUGGGGCUGGAGCAGGUCCCAAGGGUUCGGCUGUUCGCCGAUUAAAGUGGCACGCGAGCUGGGUUCAGAACGUCGUGAGACAGUUCGGUCCCUAUCCGCCGCGGGCGGAGGAAAUUUGAGGGGAGCUCUCCUUAGUACGAGAGGACCGGGAGGGACGCACCGCUAGUGUACCGGUUGUCGCGCCAGCGGCACCGCCGGGUAGCUAUGUGCGGACGGGAUAACCGCUGAAAGCAUAUAAGCGGGAAGCCCACCCCAAGAUGAGAUUUCCCUGGGCGAAAGCCCCUGAAGGCCCGUCGAAGAUGACGACGUUGAUAGGCAGGGUGUGGAAGCGCAGCAAUGCGUGGAGCUAACCUGUACUAAUUGGCCGUGCGGCUUGACCAC
Molecule: ribosomal RNA, 3001 nt
Filed under: Binatia bacterium
Lineage: Bacteria; Candidatus Binatota; Binatia (SeqCode)
Description: 23S ribosomal RNA
Rfam family: Bacterial large subunit ribosomal RNA
Source: RNAcentral